This is a non-coding RNA of Nasonia vitripennis (jewel wasp), 135 nucleotides long. The record is from Rfam. Lineage: Eukaryota; Metazoa; Arthropoda; Insecta; Hymenoptera; Pteromalidae.
UCUGGGCCUUCAUCGAAGCCACAAUAUAGUCUUUUAAAUAUUGUGGUCAAAAUGUGGCCAAAAGCAAAAUCCUUUCUUUGGUCACUGAUUAAGUUACUAAAUAUCUCUUCAGUAUUACCCAGAAUGGAUACAACA